Molecule: long non-coding RNA, 311 nt
Organism: Paramormyrops kingsleyae
Lineage: Eukaryota; Metazoa; Chordata; Actinopteri; Osteoglossiformes; Mormyridae
Source: RefSeq, a predicted model, not a curated record
UCCAACUGCGGAGGCUGCCACCAAACUGCCGGCUGGGGAAGCGAGCGAGAGCUCGGAGUCAGCGAGGCAGGCAGCUGGGAAUCCAGGCGAGGGCGUGGGGGCCAGUUUUCACAUGCAGCGCUGUUUCUCGUCAGUGGAGUCUGCAGCCACCUCCUGAUCUGUCUGGUCGGCCAGGGAGGACACCAUUCCGUCACAGAUUGCACAAUCCACCCCACCGGGCACGCCGCCGGCCCUGCUCACCUGUCUAUCCAGCUUGAAGAUUGUUUUACUCUUCUUUUUUUUUUUUUGCAAUAAAAUUCCCUCACUAAUAA